This 492-nucleotide ribosomal RNA is filed under the name uncultured bacterium. Its description in RNAcentral is "partial 16S ribosomal RNA". It matches the Rfam family "Bacterial small subunit ribosomal RNA", at positions 29 to 507 of the family's 1533-position model. The record is from RNAcentral.
AGUGAACGCUGGCGGUAGGCCUAACACAUGCAAGUCGAACGGCAGCACAGUAAGAGCUUGCCCUUACGGGUGGCGAGUGGCGGACGGGUGAGGAAUACAUCGGAAUCUACUUUUUCGUGGGGGAUAACGUAGGGAAACUCACGCUAAUACCGCAUACGACCUACGGGUGAAAGCAGGGGAUCUUCGGACCUUGCGCGAUUGAAUGAGCCGAUGUCGGAUUAGCUAGUUGGCGGGGUAAAGGCCCACCAAGGCGACGAUCCGUAGCUGGUCUGAGAGGAUGAUCAGCCACACUGGAACUGAGACACGGUCCAGACUCCUACGGGAGGCAGCAGUGGGGAAUAUUGGACAAUGGGCGAAAGCUUGAUCCAGCCAUGCCGCGUGGGUGAAGAAGGCCUUCGGGUUGUAAAGCCCUUUUGUUAGGAAAGAAAAGCUGCAGAUUAAUACCCGGCUGUUCUGACGGUACCCAAAGAAUAAGCACCGGCUAACUUCGUG